RNAcentral lists this unclassified non-coding RNA (340 nucleotides) under uncultured fungus. RNAcentral's name for it is "partial contains 5.8S ribosomal RNA and internal transcribed spacer 2". The stretch from base 1 to 132 matches the Rfam family "5.8S ribosomal RNA", at positions 22 to 154 of the family's 154-position model. Lineage: Eukaryota; Fungi. The record is from RNAcentral.
UGGUUCUGGCAUCGAUGAAGAACGCAGCGAAAUGCGAUAAGUAAUGCGAAUUGCAGAAUCCGUGAGUCAUCGAAUCUUUGAACGCAUAUUGCGCCCUUUGGUAUUCCGAAGGGCAUGCCUGUUCGAGCGUCAUUAUCACCCCUCAAACCUCGGUUUGGUGUUGGGCUUCUAGGUGGUUUAUUACCUAAAUUACCGGCCUCAAAGAUAGUGACGGCGCCCUGGAGGGAACCGAUACGCUGAGCUUUUAAUCAAGCAUGUAUUGGCACGAAUCUAGCUGGCGACGGUCUUAAACAAAACAUUUACAAGUGUUGACCUCGGAUCAGGUAGGAAUACCCGCUGA